This 461-nucleotide ribosomal RNA is filed under the name uncultured bacterium. RNAcentral describes it as "SSU rRNA". It matches the Rfam family "Bacterial small subunit ribosomal RNA", at positions 26 to 517 of the family's 1533-position model. The record is from RNAcentral.
AGGAUUAACGCUGGCGGCGUGCCUAACACAUGCAAGUCGAACGAGGUAGCAAUACCUAGUGGCAGACGGGUGAGUAACGCGUGGUCAACCUACCCUCGAGUGGGGGAUAACUAGCCGAAAGGCUAGCUAAUACCGCAUAAUACCGUAGCCGGCAUCGGCAUCGGUUGAAAGCAGCAAUGCACUCGGGGACGGGACCGCGUCCGAUUAGUUAGUUGGUGGGGUAACGGCCUACCAAGACUCCGAUCGGUAGCUGGUUUGAGAGAACGACCAGCCACACUGGGACUGAGAACGGCCCAGACUCCUACGGGAGGCAGCAGUGAGGAAUUUUCCGCAAUGGGCGAAAGCCUGACGGAGCGACGCCGCGUGUGGGAAGAAGGCCUUCGGGUCGUAAACCACUGUCGAAGGGGAAAUACUGAUGGUACCCUUGGAGGAAGCCCCGGCUAACUACGUGCCAGCAGCCG